AGAGUUUGAUCAUGGCUCAGAGCGAACGCUGGCGGCAGGCCUAACACAUGCAAGUCGAGCGCCCCGCAAGGGGAGCGGCAGACGGGAGAGUAACACGUGGGAACGUGCCCUUCAGUUCGGAACAACCCAGGGAAACUUGGGCUAAUACCGGAUACGUCCGUAAGGGAAAGAUUUAUCGCUGAAGGAUCGGCCCGCGUCUGAUUAGCUAGUUGGUGGGGUAACGGCCCACCAAGGCGACGAUCAGUAGCUGGUCUGAGAGGAUGAUCAGCCUCACUGGGACUGAGACACGGCCCAGACUCCUACGGGAGGCAGCAGUGGGGAAUAUUGGACAAUGGGCGCAAGCCUGAUCCAGCCAUGCCGCGUGGAUGAUGAAGGCCCUAGGGUUGUAAAGUCCUUUCGGCGGGGAAGAUAAUGACGGUACCCGCAGAAGAAGCCCCGGCUAACUUCGUGCCAGCAGCCGCGGUAAUACGAAGGGGGCUAGCGUUGCUCGGAAUCACUGGGCGUAAAGCGCACGUAGGCGGCUUUUUAAGUCAGGGGUGAAAUCCUGGAGCUCAACUCCAGAACUGCCUUUGAUACUGAGAAGCUGGAGUCCGGGAGAGGUGAGUGGAACUGCGAGUGUAGAGGUGAAAUUCGUAGAUAUUCGCAAGAACACCAGUGGCGAAGGCGGCUCACUGGCCCGGUACUGACGCUGAGGUGCGAAAGCGUGGGGAGCAAACAGGAUUAGAUACCCCCGUAGUCC
RNAcentral lists this ribosomal RNA (739 nucleotides) under uncultured bacterium. RNAcentral describes it as "bacterial SSU rRNA". It matches the Rfam family "Bacterial small subunit ribosomal RNA", at positions 8 to 796 of the family's 1533-position model. The record is from RNAcentral.